Morone saxatilis (striped sea-bass) is the source of this 464-nucleotide long non-coding RNA. RefSeq lists it as uncharacterized. The transcript has 4 exons. Lineage: Eukaryota; Metazoa; Chordata; Actinopteri; Moronidae. The record is from RefSeq and is a predicted model, not a curated record.
AUGUCUUUCAAGUUCAGUAGUUUAGAAUUUUAGAAGUUUAAUGAUUAUUAACUAUUUUAAUUUUGGCACAAGAAACUGUGGUAAAGUUAUAUGAUGCCAAUUUAAAAAAUAAAUUUUGAGAUAAAUUACUCAAUUUCAGGAUCGUUACUUGAGGUAAACCAUCACCGCUUCUUUCCACGGGCACAACUCUUGAAGUAUGUUCAAAUGGUCCAAAUCAGAACCCCGCCCACCCUCUCCUGAGACUCUUAUUGAAGAAUGGAGGAAAAUACCAUGGGGCCACAAAGAGAGAGACCUUCAGUAUGUGGAGGAUUAUCAGCCUCAUAAUGAAGACCUCAAACAGCUCAGAAUUCUGCUUUAUGGACCGACUGGUUCUGGCAAGUCCAGUUUCGUCAACUCUGUCGACAGUCUUUUACAAGGCAGAAUCACUGGUCGAGCUUUGGCUGAUGCAACCUCUGGCGACAGCU